This is a non-coding RNA of Paramuricea clavata, 1480 nucleotides long. The record is from the annotation of a GenBank genome assembly. Lineage: Eukaryota; Metazoa; Cnidaria; Anthozoa; Malacalcyonacea; Plexauridae.
UAUAUAUAUAUAUAUAUAUAUAUAGUUCGAGUUCGUCUCGAGUUGACAGGGCCGCCGAGAGCUUGGCGGGGGCCCGGCAAAUUUUUCUUAGGGGGCCCUAUUCAAAAAAUGUUUCCGUACGAGUACGUUGUAAAUGCUUUUGUGGGAAUUUCCUGCAAAAAUUUCAAACCAAAUUUUGGUUCUUUGCCGCAGAAAAACACAAAUAUUUCGGCCAAAAACGGUAAUAUUUCGCGCAAAAAAAUGACUGGGGCCCAACAAAAAAUUUCUAGGGGCCCCCAGAACCUCAGGGCAAUUUGCCCCCCGCCCCCUGCCCCCCCCUCUCGGCGGCCCUGCCGGAGUUGAUAUCUUGUUCCAGUUUAACUUCGAGUUAAGCCUACGAGGCGUAAUAAAAUAAAUAUUAUCAAAAAAAAAUACGAAAACUUUUUUAAUCUCACCAAUCGUCUCCUUCUAACUGUAACACCUACCUACUACCCAUAAUCUCUAACCCUAAAGCUCGUUUUCCACUAGGCGAAUUUGUUCGCACGAAGCGACUUUUUCAUUUGUCGGCAUCACUUAUCACAUCAGCUAAAGCAAUUCUAGCAUGAGCUCAACCACAGAAGAGAUAAGGGCUCAACCUUUGAAUAGUAAAUUCAAAGGUGAAGCUCAUGUUGAGCAAUUUUGACAAAGGAAAAAGUCGCUUCGCGUGAACAAAAUAAUAUAUGGGCCUAAACCCUGAACCAACCCCAAACUCUAAACCUAAUCGCAUGCAGCUUGAAUUCUGUUAUAACUCGAUUUGCUCGAUUUGAACUCGACUCGAAAUUUACUCGAAUUCAUAAAUUUCCUGGCCCCAUGGUGUACAUGCUCUAUAUAGGCUUAGGAAUUUGAUGGAUUCACUGUCAGCUCUCUAAAAAUCAUGUAUUCAUUCGGUUACAUAAUUUAGAUAGAGCCACCGAAAUUUUUCGAACCUUGGAGGUAGCUAAAAAUAGUAAAACUAUUCCACAUUGAAAUAUAAGAGAACUUAGGCCACAUAAAAUAAAUUCCUUGAUUCUCAUCACCGCCCGACUGUAUUUUAUAAAGAGCCUCGUUUUUUAUAUUUCGUUAUAGCUACAAUAUAAAUGUACCGACCGACAAAAUAUUUCAAGACAAUUAAGUUUUUUAUAUUUUAUAUUGGGUUUAUACAGGGUGUAUCAAAAUAAACGCAAUUCAUCUUUUGUGCUUAAUAACUUUCGAAAUACUAUUUCUAGUUAAACGCUUUUAGGCUUACUUCAAAGCCUGUUCUUUUCUCUUUCAAACAAACUAUUAUCCUUGUCUCCAAUGCUAGUAAUAAUUGCACAGGAAAAGAUUUAGUAAAACCUACCAUUUUUAGUUGCUGUUUAAUUAUGCAAGUUUACUAUGUUAUUGUUUAGUCGGUGUAAAUGUUAGAAUUUUCUUCUCUAAACUUUAAUGUUGUCGUCACUACAUCUGGAAAACCACGUAAGAACAAAUUAAAAGUAUUUUAAAA